This 519-nucleotide ribosomal RNA is filed under the name uncultured eukaryote. RNAcentral describes it as "SSU rRNA". It matches the Rfam family "Eukaryotic small subunit ribosomal RNA", at positions 1161 to 1698 of the family's 1831-position model. The record is from RNAcentral.
AGGGCACCACCAGGAGUGGGGCCUGCGGCUUAAUUUGACUCAACACGGGAAAACUCACCCGGCCCGGACACUGGAAGGAUUGACAGAUUGAGAGCUCUUUCUUGAUUCAGUGGGUGGUGGUGCAUGGCCGUUCUUAGUUGGUGGAGUGAUUUGUCUGGUUAAUUCCGAUAACGAACGAGACUCUAGCCUAUUAAAUAGAUCGUUGGCUUACAAACGCCGGCGAGACUUCUUAGAGGGACAGGCGGCGAUUCAGCCGCACGAAACAGAGCAAUAACAGGUCUGUGAUGCCCUUAGAUGUCCGGGGCCGCACGCGCGCUACACUGAAGUGAUCAGCGUGCAUUUUGAAACCUACUCUGUCAAGAGUGGGGAACCCAAUGAACCUUCUUCGUGAUUGGGAUAGGGGAUUGUAAUUAUUCCCCUUGAACGAGGAAUUCCCAGUAAGCGCGAAUCAUAAGUUUGCGCUGAUUACGUCCCUGCCCUUUGUACACACCGCCCGUCGCUACUACCGAUUGAAUGUUU